CCCCUCCCAUGUUUGUUCACAGAUUCAGCAAUUUGUCUUUUACUUUGGAGGUAAUGGCCAGUGGACUCCUAAAUAUUUCACUGUACUAGCAGGUCCUGAGUCUUUGUAGAGUUCAUCUUCCACCCUUUGGAGCAUGUAUCUAACCAAGGCUUCUAGCAUACUGGCCACCUCUUCCUCUUUUGUCCAGUCAUCAUGAUUUUAUUGAUGUGAUGAAUCAGGGUGGUGUUCUGAGGGACUCAUAGGUGAUUCAGACCUUUUCAGACAAAAUUAUGGCAAAGGGUAAGAGUGUUACCAUAGCCCCAAGACAAAAUCGGAGAUCAAUAUUAUUGUCUAUUUCAUCUGAAUUCAAACCUUUUCUGAUCUUCUUUCCUAAUUGGAAUGGAAAAGAAUAUGUUGUCCAAAUCAAUGGCUAAAAACUAGGUACCUGAAGUUUUAUUAAUCUGCUUAGCACAGUAUCACAUCUGGCACAGUAACUAUAAUCAUCAGGUUUACUACUUGAUUAAGUCUGUAAUAGUACACAGUUAUUCUCCAGGACCCAGCUGGUUUCUGCACGGACCACAUUGGUCAUCAUGAGUGAAGUCUUGAGCCACUGAGCCACUACCACCUUGUGCCAAAUACUAUCUGUGCCCUGCCUGCCAACCAGGAUGACAACCCUUCACCUGCCAGGUGGAGAGAGACAGCAGCAGGCUAACUAGUUGUCUGUUAAGAACAUCCAGAGCAGGACCAGAAUCUGGGCCAGGAACUGAGAGACAGAUUGGGACAACGGAACAAAUCUACCAGGGUAUGCUGGCCAACUUAGUCUUCUAUUAUGAUCAAGGAAGGAUGGCGCCUGAGAGGUCAUUACUAUGUGACUGGUCUUCAUAUAUUGCUUCUAUGUUUGAUUCUUCCUCCAGAAAUGUUUCAAUAGCAAACUCAAUGAGUUUACGUAGCCAGAAUCUUAGUCAAUAACCUACUCUGCAGUAUCUUAGGGCUGACUUUGUACAUAUGGAAGUCAGCCAGAUCUCAUGAGUGGAUCAUUAAGCUAGAAUUAUUUUCUUGGCACACGUUACAGUAAGGUAAUAUAUGACCUAGGCCUAAGGCAGGCCAUCAACCUGUCAAGAGUAAUGACCCCCAGGGGUAAGGCCUUGCUGUCUCCACCUCAAGGAUGGGUCUUCAAAGUGGAGACAAUAUAGUCCCUAUGGUUUCUACAUGCUUAAUGAGUCUGUUAUGUGAAUUAUAAAGAUAAUAUCUAUGGGGACUUUGAGCUCCUACAAUAAAAAUGUAUAAAUAUAAUCCAAGAAAUUCUGGUAGACAAACAUUGUAAUAAUGCAUAUCAGUCUUUGUAUCUCCAUUUAGUUUUUUUAAAACUUGGCUUGUGUCCAGAAGUAUGCACAGAUAUACAUAGCAAAUGCUCAGUGCUGAAUGUUUAGCUAAAUCCUGUGCUUCAAAGCAAGGAUGAAUAGAUUUUCAUCAGAGCUCAGGACCUGAACUGUAGGCUUCCCUCACAAUGAGAAGUAAAGCUAAGUAUAGGUGAAUCCUGAGUGGCACAUAUUCUAUGAGAGUUUUAUACAUAAUUUGAAUGAUUGAUAUGCUGCAUCUUUCAUUGAAAUGAUUGUCAACCAAUAUUAUUUCAAGUGUUAUUUCCAUGCUAUUUCUAGUUCUGUAUGUUUUACGUAAUUAUAAAUGGCUUCAUAUUUUCAUGUAACAUUGUAUGAUAUGAUUUGGGUUCUAACAGGUUAUCCUUGACACCAGUAUAGAAUACCCAGAAUUAAUUUAAGGUAUAUUAUCAAACCACUAAAAUUAGGAUGUCCAUGAAUUCUGAAGGAGAAAAUAUCAUUUAGAUUGUGUGUGUGUGUGUGUGUGUGUGCGCGUGUGUGUGUGUCCUCUAAGUUUUAAACAUGAGGUGGUUAUAUAAAGGGGACUUCUAAAUUGGGAGAGGAUGAAAAUGGGCUAAAUAUUUCAAACAAACUUCAGUGUGAAAUCAGUAGUAUAUUCAGUAGAGGUGACAGGGAAAAAAGCUGUGGAGGAGAAAAGAGAACAAGAAAAUCAGGAAGCAGUAAAAAUGAUGACUGAGGUCAGGUGGUAAUGGUAACAUCAAGAAACUUGAAUCUGAUGGAAAAAAACCACGGGUAGCUAUAAAAGGGGCAUUCGAAAUAGGAAAUGAUGUGAGAGGAGAAGAUAAUUUUAGUAUAGUUAAAGGAGGUAGCAGCUAUAGGUGUGAAGAGAACGGAUUAAUUUUAAAUGUGUCCCAGAAGUAAGAGAAAUAUUUUUUUGAGGAGUGGGGGAGGAACAAUGAGAUAAACCUGGUUGAGUGUUUUAUGGUUAUCUCAAGUAAGAGUCCACUUGGAGUAUUAUGUCCAUUUUUGGACACCAUACUUUCAUAGGCAUGUUGAUGAACCAGGUCAUUCAAGACACCAGGGUAGUGAGAAGUGUGUUAAUAGUGCUUCUACCAGAGAGUUAGAGUGACAUGGCAGCUGUCCUCAUAUCUAUCGAUCUGUCAUAAGGAAGAAAGAUCACAUGCCUCUGCAUUGUUUAAAAGAAAGAAACAGACCCAAAGAAAGUCAGGAGGCAGAUUUUGCUCAAUAUAAUGAUCUAACAAUUAGAUGUGCCCUGUAACAGAGUGCGCUAUUGUAAAGUAAUGUUCUCCCAUCUUUCCAAGUAUUCAAGCAGAGAAUAGUCAAUAAUACAACUAACGACUGGAAGGGUUUCUUUUAUUCUAAGGUACUAUCAGAUGGAGGAACAUGUAGUUUGUGGUCAGUGACCUCAGGUUCUCACAUUCACGGUGCUGCAUCCUGGUUUUCAUUUGGGGACUGUUUUCUGGCACUCCCGCCUGUCUGGAGGUGAGAUAUGCUUGUUAUGACAACCCUUCUGUCACAAUAAAUUGGCUGGUGCAUUCAGUGUCAUCUAUGGCUUUUUACUUCUAUUAAUUCAUUAAUUCCGGGCCCCCAAGCGAAAGUUUCCAAAGGCCUUUUUUCUUCUUUGUUAAUUAUAACAUGAUAUCAAUCAGCACCCAAGCAGAAACUAGAAGAGUAUUCAAACUAGGUAAUUUGAGGAGAGUUUAAUAAAGCAACAGCUUACAAAGAUGUGGACAGUGGCUUAAGGAAGCCACUAAAGGAUGGCACAGUCCUCCAGGCUUGUGAUCAGGGGAGUCAUUACCAUCCCCCAGCCUGAAGAUCAAGAGGCUGGAGCUAUUUCCAGACCCUGAAGAGGGUGGUUGUAUGGAGAGGACUAUCUGAAAGAAGAGGCUGUAGCCAACACAAGAAAGCCAGGGAAUAAAUAAUCCAUCCUCACUCUCCUGCUGUUGCCUCUCAAUGGCCAAACCCAACCAUGAGCUGGGCAUGAAGGGAGCUAGCUGACAGCUAUAUGGCUCAGCUUCCUGGGGCCCAGAGCAGAGUGGAGCUGAGAAGAGAGUGAAUCUGGAGGGGUUAAUGGAAGAAACCACAGAAAGCAAAUUCCUCCCUGAGAUACAGUUGGUGCUUAGGCAAUAUUUGUACUGACAGGAAUGUGGCCACAUAUUUUGGAAAAGCUCAGGGACUCAAUCCUCUGCUAGCUGCUUUGAGGCCAUGUCUGCCGAAGUCACUGUCCUCUACAGGGUUUUUUCCUCAUGUUCAGUGUUUAGUCCUUUCCACCUUCACGAAAACGAUGCCUACUUAAUAUACAGAAAGGAGGACAUACAGAAAUUUUUCAUCUUAAUUGGAUAUUACAGUUGCCCCACUUUGGAGCCAAGAAGAGCUGAAUAAAGCUGAGAAACACCUAAACAGAAAGGCAAGUUUACCAUGAAGUAAGAAACGUAAGCUUUGGACCCCUUAAUUGCUUGAGCCUCCGAGCUCUGGAGGGAAGCAUUAGAUAUGGCUCUUAACCUCAGGGGGCUUACAGUCCAAUCAGGAGACCCAAUGCAAAUGGAACAAUGAAUCAAGAUACUAUCUAACAGGACUAGACCAUGCCACCCAGUCAUUGGAACUUGGAUGUAAGUGGCUUCUACAACCAAGUGAGGCAGAGAAAUGGGCAGCAGUGAUGACUCUAUAAAGACUUUUGUCCUUUCAUUCAUUCAAGGUGGUGUACAACCCAAAGAUGAACACAUGACCCUUGUCCUCAAGCAGCUCAAUCUGUGAAAACUAUCAUAUGAGUUAAUGUGGUAACAGAAGCAUGCGCACAAAGUACUCUGGAACAACAGGCAGGGACCAUUUAGACCUGCUGCAGUGUGUGUGUCUGUGUCUGUUUAUCUAUGUAUUAUAUGCAGGCAGAUUGUGAAAAAAGACAAGUUUCACAGAGGAGAUGAUACAUGAUCUUUUCUAAUUCACUGAAGCAUACAGCUAUCAAAGGCCUGAGGACUCUUGAAAGAUGAGCAAAAUUUCAUCAUGCAGAGAAGGGAAGUGUAAAGACAGGAAACAGCAUGUGAAAGGCAUUCUAUUCUAUUUAAAUCUAGGAAUACUGUCUUUAGGAUGUUCUUGGCUGAUUAAAUCAGAUGCAUCAUCAUAUUAUACUAUCAUGAUUUACCAAUACUGGUUAUUGCCUAGAUUUUAUCCAUGGACUCUCCAUUGGCAUCAUUAGUGAUGAGAGCUGGAAGCUUGAGCACACCCUGCCAUAAAGUUGUUUGUAACAGAAGACAUAGUUUGUACUUUGUUUUCUCUGUUUCAGUUUUGGUUUCCACCUCUAAUUUGAUAUAUACCAGUUAUUAAUCUGGUUGAUUUGCUACAAAUGAAAAGUUUAAAAAAUUAAUGACAAUCUAUACAAAACUCACAUAAAACCAUUUGAGUCUCCCACUAGAUGGCACAGGAAGAAUAUGGCAUAUCACCUAAUUCUCAGGCUAGGCUAGAUAGAAAAUGUCUAUUCCUAUGAUCACAUGACUCUGACUACUUUCUCUUAAAAGUAAAUAUAAAUAACAUCUCUGUAAUUUUAUUUUUUCUUUAACAAUAAUUUAUCUUAAAGUAGACAGAAAAAUGCAUGUGGUUUAAAAUUCAUAGUAAAUAGGAGAAUAUUAUAAAAGUUUCUUAAGGCCAGGUGCAGUGGCUCAUGCCUGUAAUCUCAGCACUUUGGGGGUCCGAGGCAGGCGGACCAUGAGGUCAGGAGAUUGAGACCAUCCUGGGCAACAUGGUGAAACCUUGUCUCUACUAAAACUACAAAAAUUAGCUGGGCGUGGUAUGCUCCUGUAGUCCCAGCUACUUGGGAGGCUGAGGGAGGAGAAUCGCUUGAACCCGGGAGGUGGAGGUUGCAGUGAGCCGAGGUCGUGCCACUGCACUCCAGCCUGGCAACAGAGUGAGACUCUGUCUCAAAAAAAAAAGUUUCUCAAACCAUUUUUAACAGAUUAAAACAAUUCUUUUUUUAUCAAACUAUUUUUUUCAUUAAUUCUUAGUAGUCAAUAGUUCUGUUAUUGUGACCCUGGAAGACAAGGCACUGUCAUCUGUCUCCUACAGAUUUUAGAGCAAUUAAAAGUGAAGCAAUCCAUAUUCAUUGAUUAAGAGGGAACUAUCAUGUAACCUGGGUAAGUCAGUCCAUAUCACUUUAAGAACGCUAAACAGUAUUGCUCAAGGUUAAAAAAAAAAAAAAAGGAGAGAGAGAGAGAUCUAACACCAUUCUUUAACGCCUGGCCACUAAACUAAUGACCAUCAAUGACAGAACCUGCUUAAUCCCCAUAUAAUUAUCCAAUAUAUUGAAUCCUAAUUUUUUUUGCUCUUCACCCCAACCUUGCCCAAGUGCCAGUGUAGCUCUACUUUAAGAAUAUCAAUAGAAUGUGAUUUUUCACAAGCUGCCAUAAGUAAAUGGUGGUAAGCCAGAGUUAUAAUCUGAAAAUGCAGCUAGUUUUUUGGGGGGCACAUUAGGACUCAAACUUCCUAAAACUCCUACUCCUGAGUUACCUGGAGAAAAGCUACAGCAGAUGGGCAUCCAGUGCUUGGAAGGGCUGCUUGGUCCUCAAUACAGGGCCCAGUAAAUAUAUCUUUCAAUUAAACUCCAACCUUUGAUGUAACUGGUAUCGUGGUGCCACAAGGAUUCUGUUCAAUAUAUAUUUACUGAAUACCUUCUUUGUGCAACACUCUGUGCUGGACCCUGGGCUAGCUUAAACAACCUGAUUUGAUUCAUGGUGGGCAGCAGAUAAGAAGGCAGAAUUAGUUCACCCUCAUAAUGGUCUUUUACUGCAGCAAUGGCCAAUAAACCACCGAGUUUGCAACACCAGAACCCUAAGGGCACACUUAGCUUGAAUCAGAGUGUCUCCUGGCAAUCAUAACUGAUAUUCAAUCAGAGUUCCCACUGAGUAUAGAUGUACUACUUGACUCCAUUCCAAUAAGUGCAGCAAGCUGGAGCAGAAAAACUAAUCUUUGCUGGGUCUCUCAACGCAUGAUUUUUCCUACAUUGUGCAACCCUUAUAUGCCUUUCGUCAUUCAUUCCUAUCAGAAUCUCCUAGAGUGCUUAUUUUAAUGCAGAUUCCCAGGCCCAAUGUAGAUCACUGUAUCACAUCUCUGUGAUACAGGAGGCCAUAGUGAAAACACAAAUGAACCUGUUGCCAGCCAUCCAUGAGACCACCACGGAUGCCCCACACAUCGCCAGGGUGAUUUGAGGGCCUCAAGAUGUGAGUUCCUUAGCAUGGUUGGGGGCCAGAGACGCCACAGUUUGAGCUUUGGCAUUAAUGUGCUCUUCCUUUCUGUUGCUUAUCUUAGGUAGGAACCAGUUGACAAGUGUCCUCUCCCAGCACAAGGAACUGACUCUGGGCACUGAGUAUAGAUUUUACUUAAAAAAAUGUACAAUUUUACUUACAGAAAGUUACUCAGCUGGGAUGUUUCACUUCAUCAUUAAGGUUUUCUUGUUUUCUUCCUUCCUUCCCUUCCUUCCUUCCUUCCGUCCUUCCUUCCUUCCUUCUUUCCUCCCCUCUCCCUCCCUCCCUCUCUCUUCUUUCUUUUUCUUUCUUUCUUUCUCUUUCCUUCUUCUUUUUCUUUCUUCUUUCCUUUCUUUCUUCCUUCCUCCCUCCCUCCCUGCUUGCUUGCUUUCUUUCUCUCUCUCUCUUUCUUUCUUUCUUUUUUUUGUAAGAAACAGGGGUCUCUCUCCCCAGGCUGGAGUGAAGUGGCACACAAUCAUAGCUCACUGUGGCCUCAAACUCCUGGACUCAAGAGAUCUUCAUGCAGUCUUCCCAGUAACUGGGAUUACAGGCACGUGCUACUGCACCCAGCUUUCACCGUAUAAGUUAAUUGUUAACUUCACAUAAGUUUUAAUACCUGCAAAAAUUAUGUGACUCUUCCAGAUUCCAAUCUUUUCUAAUUUGCUAAAGCAUACAGCCAUCAGAAGUCAACAUGCAGAGAAGCACUAACACGGAGUCUCUGCAUGUCUUGAUAAAUGUUGCUUUGAUGCAGAAUUCAGUUUGGGCAACUUGUGUAGAAGGAUGGUCAGAAAGUAAUUUUCUGUUUGUUGGGGUGUGUGUCUGUGUGUGUGUGUGUAUGUAUGUAUGUAUGUAUGUAUAUGUAUAUGUGUAUGUAAAGAACACAGGUUCUGCAAUUAGUCCAGUGUUGUUGUUCUGGGAAUUUAAAUGUUUUCAUUCUCAAAGCAGUUCUGCUGAGUAGAAAUUUUCACGUUACCCCAUUAUACAGACUGAAAACCUGAAGCUUGAGUAGUUUGCCCAAGGUCACAUAGCAAGGAAGAUCACAAGGCAAAGGAAGAUCUUGAACCCUCUAAAGUUCACGAUGUUUCCAUUAUGUCAUGCUUGUAAAAAACAUGAAAAGAAAUGUUUAUAAUAAAAGAUAUUAAGUGAUAAAACUUCCUUAACAAUUUUCUCCUUUGCAAUAUCAGAAACCUCCAGCAGGCUGUACCCCUGAAUCAGUUUUCUAAUUGAAGCCAUUAAACAAUGAUUU
RNAcentral lists this long non-coding RNA (7814 nucleotides) under Homo sapiens (human). Its description in RNAcentral is "long non-coding RNA NONHSAT186091.1". The record is from RNAcentral. Lineage: Eukaryota; Metazoa; Chordata; Mammalia; Primates; Hominidae.